CCCAAAUGUCUUUAACUAAAGUUCGGACAGCGUCUGCAUUCUGUAUGUUAGGUUUAGCAUGUGUAAGAAGUAACUGACACAUUUCCCGAAAAUGAGUGUUUGGAAGAGGAGUGAAAAGUUCUGUAGUUGUUUCGGCUUCUUUAAUUUCUUCUAAACGCUCUAUUGUCAGCCAGUCAGGGAUCAAGAUGGUUUUUUGAACAAUGAAAAAUGAAGAAAUAAUAGAUACUCCCAAGUAUUAUUUUAUAAUGCAUUUGGAGUAUUCAUAUUUUAGAUGUGAUCGAACUACAUGGAUCAUGAUACUUCUUCAUUUAAAAUUGUUUUAAGAAUCUCGACCAAAACAAAUAAUUUUAAACACUCCAUUGCAUGGUAUAAUUAGAAUAUUGGUUUUAAACAACUCAGCGAAAAAUG
Ciona intestinalis (vase tunicate) is the source of this 408-nucleotide non-coding RNA. The record is from RefSeq and is a predicted model, not a curated record. Lineage: Eukaryota; Metazoa; Chordata; Ascidiacea; Phlebobranchia; Cionidae.